AGAGUUUGAUCAUGGCUCAGGAUGAACGCUGGCGGCGUGCCUAACACAUGCAUGUCGAACGAGAAGUUAACUUCUGAUUCCUUCGGGAUGAUGAGGUUGGCAGAGAGUGGCGAACGGGUGAGUAACGCGUGGGUAAUCUACCCUGUAAGUGGGGGAUAACCCUCCGAAAGGAGGGCUAAUACCGCAUAAUAUCUUUAUCCCAAAAGAGGUAAAGAUUAAAGAUGGCCUCUAUACUAUGCUAUCACUUCAGGAUGAGCCCGCGUCCUAUUAGUUAGUUGGUGGGGUAAUGGCCUACCAAGACUACAAUGGGUAGCCGGUCUGAGAGGAUGUACGGCCACACUGGGACUGAGAUACGGCCCAGACUCCUACGGGAGGCAGCAGUGGGGAAUAUUGCGCAAUGGGGGAAACCCUGACGCAGCGACGCCGCGUGGAUGAUGAAGGCCCUUGGGUUGUAAAAUCCUGUUCUGGGGGAAGAAAGCUUAAGAGUCCAAUAAACUUUUAAGCCUGACGGUACCCCAAGAGAAAGCUCCGGCUAAUUAUGUGCCAGCAGCCGCGGUAAUACAUAAGGAGCAAGCGUUAUCCGGAAUUAUUGGGCGUAAAGAGCUCGUAGGCGGUCUUAAAAGUCAGGUGUGAAAUUAUCAGGCUCAACCUGAUAAGGUCAUCUGAAACUUUAAGACUUGAGGUUAGAAGAGGAAAGUGGAAUUCCCGGUGUAGCGGUGAAAUGCGUAGAUAUCGGGAGGAGCACCAGUGGCGAAGGCGGCUUUCUGGUCUAUCUCUGACGCUGAAGAGCGAAAGCU
This 797-nucleotide ribosomal RNA is filed under the name uncultured bacterium. RNAcentral describes it as "bacterial SSU rRNA". It matches the Rfam family "Bacterial small subunit ribosomal RNA", at positions 8 to 761 of the family's 1533-position model. The record is from RNAcentral.